This 77-nucleotide transfer RNA is filed under the name Candidatus Saccharimonadota bacterium. Its description in RNAcentral is "Candidatus Saccharibacteria bacterium tRNA-Pro". It matches the Rfam family "tRNA". Rfam says of the family: Transfer RNA (tRNA) molecules are approximately 80 nucleotides in length. Their secondary structure includes four short double-helical elements and three loops (D, anti-codon, and T loops). Further hydrogen bonds mediate the characteristic L-shaped molecular structure. tRNAs have two regions of fundamental functional importance: the anti-codon, which is responsible for specific mRNA codon recognition, and the 3' end, to which the tRNAs corresponding amino acid is attached (by aminoacyl-tRNA synthetases). tRNAs cope with the degeneracy of the genetic code in two manners: having more than one tRNA (with a specific anti-codon) for a particular amino acid; and 'wobble' base-pairing, i.e. permitting non-standard base-pairing at the 3rd anti-codon position. The record is from RNAcentral. Lineage: Bacteria; Candidatus Saccharimonadota.
CGGGGAGUGGCGCAGUUUGGUAGCGCGGGCGGUUUGGGACCGUCAGGUCGCAGGUUCAAAUCCUGUCUCCCCGACCA